This 484-nucleotide ribosomal RNA is filed under the name uncultured bacterium. RNAcentral describes it as "partial 16S ribosomal RNA". It matches the Rfam family "Bacterial small subunit ribosomal RNA", at positions 29 to 507 of the family's 1533-position model. The record is from RNAcentral.
AUUGAACGCUGGCGGCAUGCUUUACACAUGCAAGUCGAACGGCCGCGCGGGCUUCGGCCUGGCGGCGAGUGGCGCACGGGUGAGUAAUACAUCGGAACGUGCCCAGGAGAGGGGGAUAGCUCGGCGAAAGCCGGAUUAAUACCGCAUACGACCUGAGGGUGAAAGCGGGGGAUCUUCGGACCUCGCGCUAUUGGAGCGGCCGAUGGCAGAUUAGCUAGUUGGUGGGGUAAAGGCCUACCAAGGCGACGAUCUGUAGCUGGUCUGAGAGGACGACAAGCCACACGGGGACUGAGACACGGCCCAGACUCCUACGGGAGGCAGCGUUGGGGAAUUUUGGACAAAGGGCGAAGGCCUGAUCCAGCAAUGCCGCGUGUGUGAUGAAGUCCUUCGGGUUGUAAAGCACUUUUGGCGGGAACGAAAAGGACUGUGCCAAUACCACGGUUCGAUGACGGUACCCUAAGAAUAAGCACCGGCUAACUACGUG